GAUGAACGCUGGCGGCGUGCCUAAUACAUGCAAGUCGAGCGAACAGACGAGGAGCUUGCUCCUCUGACGUUAGCGGCGGACGGGUGAGUAACACGUGGAUAACCUACCUAUAAGACUGGGAUAACUUCGGGAAACCGGAGCUAAUACCGGAUAAUAUAUUGAACCGCAUGGUUCAAUAGUGAAAGACGGUUUUGCUGUCACUUAUAUAUGGAUCCGCGCCGCAUUAGCUAGUUGGUAAGGUAACGGCUUACCAAGGCAACGAUGCGUAGCCGACCUGAGAGGGUGAUCGGCCACACUGGAACUGAGACACGGUCCAGACUCCUACGGGAGGCAGCAGUAGGGAAUCUUCCGCAAUGGGCGAAAGCCUGACGGAGCAACGCCGCGUGAGCGAUGAAGGUCUUCGGAUCGUAAAACUCUGUUAUUAGGGAAGAACAAAUGUGUAAGUAACUAUGCACGUCUUGACGGUACCUAAUCAGAAAGCCACGGCUAACUACGUG
Molecule: ribosomal RNA, 497 nt
Filed under: uncultured bacterium
Lineage: Bacteria
Description: partial 16S ribosomal RNA
Rfam family: Bacterial small subunit ribosomal RNA
Source: RNAcentral